CCUACGGGAGGCAGCAGUAGGGAAUCUUCCACAAUGGGCGAAAGCCUGAUGGAGCAACGCCGCGUGGGUGAAGAAGGUCUUCGGAUCGUAAAACCCUGUUGUUAGAGAAGAAAGUGCGUGAGAGUAACUGUUCACGUUUCGACGGUAUCUAACCAGAAAGCCACGGCUAACUACGUGCCAGCAGCCGCGGUAAUACGUAGGUGGCAAGCGUUAUCCGGAUUUAUUGGGCGUAAAGGGAACGCAGGCGGUCUUUUAAGUCUGAUGUGAAAGCCUUCGGCUUAACCGGAGUAGUGCAUUGGAAACUGGGAGACGUGAGUGCAGAAGAGGAGAGGGGAACUGCAUGUGUAGCGGUGAAAUGCGGAGAUAUAUGGAAGAACACCAGUGGCGAAAGCGGCUCUCUGGUCUGUAACUGACGCUGAGGUUCGAAAGCGUGGGUAGCAAACAGGAUUAGAUACCCUUGUAGUC
RNAcentral lists this ribosomal RNA (465 nucleotides) under uncultured bacterium. RNAcentral describes it as "partial 16S ribosomal RNA". It matches the Rfam family "Bacterial small subunit ribosomal RNA", at positions 338 to 795 of the family's 1533-position model. The record is from RNAcentral.